Molecule: ribosomal RNA, 253 nt
Filed under: uncultured bacterium
Lineage: Bacteria
Description: partial 16S ribosomal RNA
Rfam family: Bacterial small subunit ribosomal RNA
Source: RNAcentral
UACAGAGGGUGCAAGCGUUGUUCGGAAUUAUUGGGCGUAAAGGGCGCGUAGGCGGUGCCACAAGUCACCUGUGAAAGCCCCGGGCUCAACCUGGGAGGUGCGCUUGAUACUCGAGGGCUUGAGUGCGGGAGAGGAGAGUGGAAUUCCCAGUGUAGAGGUGAAAUUCGUAGAUAUUGGGAAGAACACCCGUGGCGAAAGCGGCGCGCUGGACCACUACUGACGCUGAGGAGCGAAAGCUAGGGGAGCAAACAGG